This is a long non-coding RNA of Cygnus olor (mute swan), 1045 nucleotides long. RefSeq lists it as uncharacterized. The transcript has 3 exons. Lineage: Eukaryota; Metazoa; Chordata; Aves; Anseriformes; Anatidae. The record is from RefSeq and is a predicted model, not a curated record.
GUGGCCGGGCCUCGGGGGGACUGGUGCCAGGUGGGGAAGGUGAAGGGUGCAGCAAUUGUGGUGUAGAAAUGGAGGGCUGAUGCUGUGGAAGGUAGGUAUGUUUUUGGUGAUGAUGUGGACCGACUGGGCAAUAAAGCUAGGAGAAAGGGUAGUGGGAUGGUAAAGGAAAACAGGAAUGUGAGCAAGAAUGGGCCUGGAGGGCUUCGGGGUGAGUGGAUAGGGGACUCCCAUGCUUCUCCAGAGCUUACCUGCGGCUUUCCUCCCCGUGGUUUGAGGUUUAGGGGAAGAAAUUCAGGCUUGUGUCUGAGGAAGAGAACGAUAGAUACAUACAUUAACAGAAAGAAUGGCCACAAAGUGUAAGGGCACAAACUGUGCACAAAAUGAAGGGGGAGAGCAGCGUAAUGAGCAGCUGCGUGGAGAGGGUUUGGGCCUGGAGCGAGAGGAUGAGCCACCGCUGUGAGCAAUUUGUCUAUCCGCGCCCAGGUACCUGGAUACUGUGCUAAACAGCAAUCACCUCACAGUUAUUCAGGCUGCAGGUGCAGAAACGUGGAGCUGGUUCCCCUUGAGCUGCGUGGGUGUGAAAGCGGCGGAGCUGUACUUGCUGCAGUGCUGCGAUACACGGCUUUCGUGACUUAGGUCUGUCAUAAAGGAAAACCUGUUGAUCAGGAAUGCUUGAGAUUCUGUCAUCGCCUCCUCAGUGCUACUAUUUCACCUUUUUUUUUUUUCCUCUGAAAGAAGCUUCUUGGAUGUAAAGCCAGCAGUUUCUAAUCAACCCUGAAUUGAAUCAGAAUUGCAGUGAGUUGAGCAGAAAAUGAGAGCACCCCAAAACGCUCAUGUAAACGUUGUGAAGUUUUCUCUCUGAAAAGUCCUCACUGAGCACGGCAUAAAGCACCUGGAAGCAGUCCGUGCCGUUUUUGAGUGGUGCUGUGAUGUUGUUCUACCAAUUUUGAAUUUCAAGAUCCUCUUUGUCAAAAAGGGGAUGGAAUUUUGCAGCAUUUCAGAAAAAUCAGUUAGGCGGUGUGGUUCUGUGGCAGUCUGCUCUGUC